Long non-coding RNA from Hippoglossus stenolepis (Pacific halibut), 1617 nucleotides. RefSeq lists it as uncharacterized. The transcript has 6 exons. Lineage: Eukaryota; Metazoa; Chordata; Actinopteri; Pleuronectiformes; Pleuronectidae. The record is from RefSeq and is a predicted model, not a curated record.
UUGAGGAGGUGCUAAGGGUUGGACCCUGCCACCAUAUGUCCUUCUCUUGUCUUGCUAUUUCUCCUGGCCUCCACUCAGACAAUGAAGUAGUUAGUGGUUGGUGCAUUUGCUCUCAGAUCUCACAGGUUCCUACAGAUUGAAACGUUUUUCAGCUGAUUAAGAUUCAACAUUAAGACAACAAGAGGAUCCUGUUGGGGAAACCCUUUCUGCAGAUCCUGAUUCCUUCCAGCACACCGUUACAGCGCAGCUGGUGCAUCACCAGGGGGUUCUCCAUGGCCCCAGGAGUCUUGGUCUCAUUGGGGAUGAUGCAGCGUACAAAGUGGGGAUCACCCAUGCUGCUUGACGCUCUUUGAGGUUGAACAGCAGCAGGCUCAUGGAGGAAGGUGAACAUCGCUAUGUCUUCAAUCUUAUCGAACUUUGUUUAACUUUGUCACCAUUGCGACUGAUGAUGGACGCUUUGACGUACUCAACCUCAGGGUCAGGAACGAAGCACUCCUUCCUCAUGUCGAAUGGACGAGUCUGGGCCUCCAGCCGGUCCUUAUGUAACUUUCUCAGAUGCCUUAAACCUUUGAAGGACAGCGGUGUGUGAGAUCAAUGUCAGUGUUUGGGUGUUAGACAGAGUGGAGCUCAGAUCCACCCUUCACUUUGCUCCUUCUGACGGUGCAAGACGUUGUGAAUCUGUCCGUCUUUGUGCUGCUGCUGCAAAGCUGUGAGUUACUUUGGAGACAAAGGGGACUACAGCACAGCAGAUCUCAAAGCUCGUAGGUGGCCAUCAGUGGGUUUCACUCCUCAUCCAGCCCUUUCUGUGAUGAAGAAUGAAAAGAGAAUAGACAAAGACACGGAUUAUACACAGAAGGCAAACAAGGUCUCAAUAAGUGUAACCUAAGAGAGUAAACCACAACUACAUUUUGGAACUUGAAUUUGUAGAAUUGUAAAAAAAUAAAUAAAAACAGUGUAGGACUAAAUGCAUUUGGACAAAAGCUAAGAUUAUAUAAGGUGUUCAAAAUCAUAUAAAAGCUUAAUAGCCAAGCUAUUCUUCAGUGUUUCAAGUCAAAGACAUUUGUUUUUGUUUGUUUGUCUAAUUUGUAAAUGAAAGAGAUGAUUUUAAGUCUGCAUUUUGUUUAAAAAGAGAUUCAUCUUUUAAAUAGAAUCUUGACAAAAAUGCAGCUGUGUGUCCAUGAGAGCUAAUGAUAGCCAAUAAUAAUAGUAGACUCUUGUGGACAGCUCCCAAGGGGGACAUACUGUAUGUUAACAAAAUCAAGAUCAUCGAUCAUUCAAAGCUUUGUAUGGUAUCUUUAUUUGGAUUAUUUUGUUAACAUUGAUUUGAUUGGAUAAAUAUGCUGUUACUGCAUUAACAACUAAAUCUGUCGGAUGAAAUUAAAGUAAAAAUUGAAGGUGUCCUUGUGUCAUUGAGCUAUGGGGGUCACCAUGAAUAAUUCCAGGACCUUUUUUUGCGUUCAUUUCUCUCUUUGAUCUUAUCUGUCAGGUCACUAACAAAACACUAAAAUUAUCAUGAUGCCUCCCCUGUGACAAAAGAUUAUAGCCCCACUAGCCUACAAGAGUAGACUAAUACAAUUCAUCCACACAACACCCAUAAUAAAAUUGAUUUGUACAAAG